ACCUGCCUAUUUCUGGCCCCGACCACUCAUCUCUUGUUGCUGUAAACCACCACCCUGAUUGAAAAUGAAAGGCAGCUGGUCACAUUGCCUCUGUCUCUUG
Thalassophryne amazonica is the source of this 100-nucleotide long non-coding RNA. RefSeq lists it as uncharacterized. NCBI's taxonomy places the organism in Eukaryota, Metazoa, Chordata, Actinopteri, Batrachoidiformes, Batrachoididae. The transcript is spliced from 3 exons. The record is from RefSeq and is a predicted model, not a curated record.